This 399-nucleotide non-coding RNA is filed under the name Olavius algarvensis. The record is from RNAcentral. Lineage: Eukaryota; Metazoa; Annelida; Clitellata; Tubificida; Naididae.
ACGAGCGUGUUUACGAUUUGGUUUAGUGGAGGUUUUCGAGUUUCCACUACUCCUAACCCUAGGUUGUGAGCUAAACCUCGCCUGGCGCGAUGUCCGCAGUUUGUCUGUCCCGCUUUUUGUGGACGGCGAGGUAAAAUGAAAAUAUAAAGCGGGCACCGUAACCGCGUUCGUAACGGUUGGGUAUGUUAUGCCAGCGAGCCGGCAUGUUGUUUGCGUUUGAGCCAGGCAUGGCUUGUAGCUGAUUGUUAGGUUAGUCCUCGCGUCAGCUCGCUUUGUCUGCUCUGCGUAAAGCGGUCGUGUCGGUUGAUGCUAGUACAACACAGAGUAAAUGUUAAAUGCAGUUGUUAAAAGAGCAGUCUCAAGUAUUGUGGCUGUUCUAAAACUAUACUGCAUACAUUU